RNAcentral lists this ribosomal RNA (497 nucleotides) under uncultured bacterium. RNAcentral's name for it is "partial 16S ribosomal RNA". It matches the Rfam family "Bacterial small subunit ribosomal RNA", at positions 28 to 507 of the family's 1533-position model. The record is from RNAcentral.
GACGAACGCUGGCGGCGUGCCUAAUACAUGCAAGUAGAACGCUGAAGAGAGGAGCUUGCUCUUCUUGGAUGAGUUGCGAACGGGCGAGUAACGCGUAGGUAACCUGCCUUGUAGCGGGGGAUAACUAUUGGAAACGAUAGCUAAUACCGCAUAACAAUGGAUGACACAUGUCAUUUAUUUGAAAGGGGCAAUUGUUCCACUACAAGAUGGACCUGCGUUGUAUUAGCUAGUAGGUGAGGUAAUGGCUCACCUAGGCGACGAUACAUAGCCGACCUGAGAGGGUGAUCGGCCACACUGGGACUGAGACACGGCCCAGACUCCUACGGGAGGCAGCAGUAGGGAAUCUUCGGCAAUGGGGGCAACCCUGACCGAGCAACGCCGCGUGAGUGAGGAAGGUUUUCGGAUCGUAAAGCUCUGUUGUAAGUCAAGAACGGGUGUGAGAGUGGAAAGUUCACACUGUGACGGUAGCUUACCAGAAAGGGACGGCUAACUACGUG